RNAcentral lists this long non-coding RNA (15096 nucleotides) under Nicotiana benthamiana. RNAcentral describes it as "long non-coding RNA (NBEN_LNC028961)". Lineage: Eukaryota; Viridiplantae; Streptophyta; Magnoliopsida; Solanales; Solanaceae. The record is from RNAcentral.
AAAGGACAUAAAAGUAAAAUCAUGACACCAUAGGGUACUAUAAAAUAACCUCUGGGGGGACAAAAGCUAACGAUAUUUUUGGUGAAUGAACUCGAGACGGAAAGAAUGAGGCAGCGGAGAGGUAGUGGGGAGUCUCUAAUGGUGGUUGCCCUCUCUCUGUUUCCUAUGAUUUCCUUUUCCAUUUUCACCAAACGGGGCACUAAUAAACCACCAUUCAUCUUAAGUGUUUAAUUGGUCUAGCUCUGAUCUAUACACACACACACACAUAUAUAUAUAUAUAUAUAUACACACACAAUAGGUGAAAAAGGGUUUAGGAUUUAAAACCUAACCCUUUUUCCCUGCUGCUUCUUCUUCCUCAUCAUCAAAAUUAUUAUUAUUAUUAUUAUUAUUAUUAUUACUCCCCUUUUUGCUGCUUCUUCUUCUUCUCCUUCCUCAUCAGCAAAAUUAUUAUUACUCCCUCCGUUACAAUUUAUUGUUACUGUAUCGGAUGAGAGGCUGUGAUGAUUAAGGUGUCGUCUAGAGUUCGUCGGGGUAAUGGAGCAGCCCGUAUCUUGGCGGGGCGACCCGGAAGGUACUAUUUUAAUAGUGCAACUGCGGUUUGCAGCCAUGGCGGUUGCUUUGUCUCCGUUCCCCUGAUUUUAUCACAGAUCUGAGCCUCAAUAUACCCCCAAAAAAGUACUAUUUAUGUUUGAUAAUUUCAAAUUUUGCUUUAAUGAAGUUACAUUUGCUUUAAGUUUUAGUUUGCUGACUCUUUUGUUUAGAAUUUGUACAGGUAGCUAUUAAAGUCAUUAUAUUUUUACAAUUAUACAAUGCCUAUUUUACAUUCACUUAGACUCUUUUGUUUAGAAUUUGUACAUGUAGCUAUUGAAGUCAUUACACAACAACAACCCAGCAUAAUCCGAUUUAGUGGGGUCUGGGUCCGGAGAGGGUAGCGUGUACGCAGACCUGACUCCUACCCUGCUAGAGAGGCUAUUUCCAAAUAGAAAUCCGGCAUCCCUCCAAUAACUUAACACCUUGCUCUUGGGGGAGACUCGAACUCACAACAUCUCGGUUGGAAAUGGGGUUCCUUCUUUAUUGAAGUCAUUAUAUUUUUACAAAUAUAGAAUGCCUAUUUUACAUUCACUUAGAUGAUCAUAUUAUAGAAUUUUUUAUUUAAAACAAAGGAGAUUGGAUUUUGUUUGAAGGAAGUUUUUCUUUUCAGUUAACUAAGGUGAACAUCUGACAUUUUAAGUUUUUUAGGAAAUCGAAAACGAGAAAAAGGACAGGGGGGAAUGUUUAGUUGACCAACUUGGGUAAAAAGAAAAUAUUUACAGUCAUGAGUGCAUAAUCUGUACUACUGAUUAAAGAAGAAAAGUUGUGGUUUUAGUAUAAAUCAAUCUGUAAAAUCCCUCAUAUUAUUCCCUUUAGAUAUUAACUUAAGAUAUAUAUUGAGAAAUGAUCCAACUUUAGAAGAGUAAUGGAAUAUUAAAGUAUUUGUCUUACCUUUAAACCCUCACCUUUUCAUCUUGCUCUUGUCCUCUUUUUCUUUUCUGUUGUUUUCUUUUGUUGAUAGGUGGCGUAAUUUUAUUUCUACCACAUGAACAGAAAUUGGAAUUAGCAACUCAAGAGUAAUCAGUCAAUGGAAACAAUAAAUGAGAAUGAGGUAACAUAGGGAUGAGAAGUAUCUAGGGAUGUUACCUCCAUCUGCAUGCAAAUGAUUACUCACUGUUCCGCUUUCUUUGUCAUUAUAUCGCCCUCACAAAAUCAGUAUCAGCUGGUGCUUAUCUGUAGGCUGUGAUGAUAAAGCUUGUUGAGUUGAUCGGGUUUUGGUAUACUAGACCCGUAUCUUGGCAGGGCAAACCAAGACGCCUUGUAAGCUGAGUAAUGAGUAUUGGAACGAAAUAGAUUGUGAUUCAGGUUGUUGUUGUUGUUGUAUGCUACUCUGGUUUGCAGCCAUGCCGGUGUCCUUUUACUUUACCCGAUUGUGCGACUGAUCUGAGCCUACUUGUGUACUCAACCAAGAAUAAUCAGUCAGAGUGAAAUAUAUGUAAAAACUCUGAGAAUAAGAAUGAGGCAGCAUAGUGAUGCCAGUUUGUAUUGAUGGUUGCCCCAUCUGGAUGCCAAUGAUUUCUCAAUGAUAUGCUUCUGUCAAAGCUGGAACCUUUAUUUAUUGACGAUCUGCUGUGUUCUUGUAAUUUCUGCCUUUAAUUUCGUGGUCAAUAUCGUUUUCCCUUUCAAGAAUCAGAAUCAUAUGAUCAAUAUUAUGAUGCUUUUGUGUAGGCUCUGAUGAUAAACUUCUUGGAUUCAUCGUGUUUGGGUUAAAUGGAGCCAAAACCAGGUCUCUCAUAAGCUUAGAUUAUUGGGUAUUGAAAUAGAGCAAAAUCGAUAUUGAGGAGUCAUAAAGUUGAUCCGGUCGGUUUUGCUAUUGUGGCGUAGUUCUUGUUGUAUUAUGUUAUCAUGGUUUGCAGCUAUGACGGUGUUCCUUUUCUUUACCUGAUUUUAUGUCGUAUCUGCGCCUACAGAUGUUCUCUCCCACUUUAUUGAUAGAUAGGUAUAUUGAUUGAUAGAUAGAUGAAAGUGAUGGAAAUAACUUGUAAAUACAAAUGCAAAUAACUUAAAGAUAUGCUUGGAGAAAGGGGAAGGUAAAUGGGGUAAAAACAUGAAUCUAUUUUGGAUUUGUGAUGACAUUUCUUUGGGCAAGUGACUGAAGAAUUGACUUCACUUGGUGAGGCAGUAAAUACUAAAUAAAAUCCACAGUUGGUAUUUAAUUUUUGUGCUUCUUAUUUUCUCAAUUCUUGAAAUUCCCUUGCCUGUUAUUUUUCUCCUUUUCUUGAUAAAAGUCCUUUGCCUGUAACUUCUCUUGAGUCUUGUCAUAUUGGUUCUAUCUCCUGCAGGUAGUGAUAUCUAGCUACACUGGUGUCUGGUAUUCAGGGCUUCUGCAAUAAUAUGCUCUUAAUUCCCAUUGCUGCUUACACCCGACAUAGUAACUACUAUGAUGGUUAUUGAAUAUAGUAAUUUGACAUAGUUAUCUUUCUUUCUAUGGACAACAGUGCAGCUGGUAGUUACAGUUGGUGAUGCAGUUGGCAAUUUGGAUCAGCCUAUUUGUUGGCUUGAUGAGCUUCUGUGGCAUUGAGAUGAUGAAGUAUGUUUGGUGGAUGUUCAUGAGCUGAAAUUUUCACCGAGUGUAAUGGUUUUCUUUCCCUUUGUUGUUUCACUAAGCCUGACAGUUUUCGGCAAGAAUUUCUGUUGUUUAGAUAUAUAGUUCAUAUUUGUUUCCACAGCACCUUAUCAGACAAUUUAUGAUACCACGAGACAGUUUAUAAUCAAAUCAAAAUUACUCCUUGAACUCAAAUUUUUCCGACAUUGCACAUAGAUAGAUAUUUAUGUGAGAAAUGGUAGAAGUUUGACGAAUAUUGCUUUUUGAACCUAUAAUUCUAAAAGUACAAUAUAUUUCAGUGCGAAAAUCGUAUAUUCACUCCAAACUGUGAUAAUUUCAUGGGGGGGGGGGGGGCCUUUUUGGCNNNNNNNNNNNNNNNNNNNNNNNNNNNNNNNNNNNNNNNNNNNNNNNNNNNNNNNNNNNNNNNNNNNNNNNGGGGGGGGGGGGGGGGGCCUAUUUGGCCGCCUCAUUUAAGCUAUACUUAUAUUUUUAAAAUUAGGUAACCUAUACCCUAAUUUUGACAACUUCAUAAAACAUUUAAAUCAUUUAAUGUUAGAAAGAGAGAUAUAACAUCUCCAGUUAAAUUCUAUUACCAUUUGUUUGUCUCAUCAAUUGUACAAAUUUCCUUUGUCCCUGCUCUUGAAACUUUUGAAUGGUGGUUUGUUUGCAAAUGCCAAAGGGGGAUGAUAAUAAUAAUAAAUAAAAUGAAGAACUACAGAUAAAAACUUUUGAUUUUGUCUAAAGUUUGCACUGCAAAUUAAAGAACUUCAGUCUAAUUUAUUUAAAGUUUGCACUACACACUAAAGAACUUUAGAUUAAUUUACGAAUUGAAGCUUUUUUGAUUGCUUUUGCUGGUCAGGCCAAACUUCAGACGUAAAUUUCUGAAGUUUUACUUUGAUAAGGUCACACUUCAGGCAAAAAAUUUUCUUGUUCAAACUUUAGACUAAAUUCUUGUUACUUCAGGCCCCAUAUGUCUGAAUUUACCCGAAAAAUAGGUACGCUUGUAAAUUUUUUUUGCAAAGUGAGUAUAAGUUAAAUGGUAACCAAAAAAUUGGGUAUAGAUGCAAAUGCCCCUCCAAAUCUAGGAAUGGGUAUCCUAGGUUUGGAGAGGGCAACCCGGUAUCCUCCUUGAUAGGAAUGAUGUUAUUUAUUAGAGCUACUUUCAUUAAUAGCACACUAUUAAAAAUAUAAUACAAAAGAUUAGCUUUAAUUAAUGAUUAACAAAUAUGACAGUAAAAUAGUUAUACAUAUAGCAGAUUUAAUUCAAUUCAAAUCAGAAAGAAUCAACCUGUUUAAAAAGGCAGUCCUAGUAUUUAAUAUAUCCUAUUUUUUCUCUCCAUUCCAUAUCAUGUUUUAUAUUUUUUUUAGAAAUCAAUCCAUUCCAUAACAGAUUUUUCCUUUCCAUACAUGGAGCUUUUUAUAUAAUGUAAUGUAGCAAAUUAUACAUCUUUAUAUUCUAAUAAAAUAAAAUACAUAUAUUUUAUGAAAAAAAUAUAAUGUAUGUUUGUGGUGUAUACAUUACAAAUCAUAUAUUUUUUUUAGGAAAAUUCAUACAUACAUAUAUAUAUAUAUAUAUAUAUAUAACAAGGUAAAUCAAUAAGAAAUAUNNNNNNNNNNNNNNNNNNNNNNNNNNNNNNNNNNNNAUUUAAUUAUAUAUCAUCGAUAAAUUCCAUAACAUCAUCAUGGUUCUGAACUUUCGACAAUAAUCGGAAGUACAUGUAUAUAAGGGGCCGUGUAUGUAUUCAGCCUAUUAUUACCAUUGUUCUUAUUGUUAUUGUAGCGGAUGAGGCUGUGAUGAUUAAGAUUGUCUAGAGUUCGUGUCGGGGCAAUGGAGCAGCCCGUAUCUUGGCGGGCUGACCCCGGAAAGGCCUAUUUUUACAAUGCAACUGAUGGUUGCAGCCAUGGCGGUUGCAUUGUCUUCUUCACCCCGAUUUUAUCACAGAUUUGAGCCUCAAAANNNNNNNNNNNNNNNNNNNNNNNNNNNNNNNNNNNNNNNNNNNNNNNNNNNNNNNNNNNNNNNNNNNNNNNNNNNNNNNNNNNNNNNNNNNNNNNNNNNNCCCCCCCCCCCCCUCAAAUAAUAAUAAAAAAUAAAAUUCCUUUAAUGAAGUUACAUUUGCUUUUCAUUUUAGUUUAGAAAUUUCUGUAAAGAUAGUGAUUGAAGUCAUUAUAUUACAAUUUACAUAUGUACAGUGCCUUUUUUCCCGUCAUGUAGAUGAUUACAUAAUAAACAGUUUUGUCUUUUUUUAAAUAAAGGUGAAUAGAUUUGUUUCAAGAAAGUUUUUGUUCCAAGUUAAAAUUCUCUGAUAUUUUGGACUAAAAUGGUGAAAGAAUGGACUUUUGUGUUGAAAGAUUUUCUCACGAACUCUAGACUGAAAGAAUGAGGCGGUGGGGAGUCUUUAACGGUGGUUGCCCUCUCUCUGUUUUCUGCCUAUGAUUUCCUUUUCCAUUUUGCUGUACUAAUAAACCACCAUUGUUGAAAAUGGACAUAGAUUGCCCCUUAAACUUGCAACUGUUAAAAUCCCAAUUUUACAGUUUAGGGUUUACUGUCUGACCCCAUAAUCUGCUUAUGCUUCUUCACUUCUUUCCUCAUUUUCCUCUUCCUCUUCCUCAUGGCGGGCUUUUACUGUGACAGAUGAUGAAGCUGUGAUGAUAAAAGGUGUUUAGAGCUGGAUCAGGCAUUGAAACGACCCGUAUCUUGGCAGGGUGACCCGGAAGGCAUCUUCAUGGUUGCAACCGAGGUAUGCAGCCAUGGAGGUUGCAUUGUCUCUGCUGAUCUUAUCACAGAUCUGAGCCUCAAAAUUGAGGGGUUUAUUUGGCCCUUUUCCCUUUUAAAAAUGGAUGGAGACCAAAAUUGUUAGAUUUUUUUUUGUAUAUUAAAGGACCAUCAUAAACCUCCUCAAAGAUGACGGAUCAAUUUUCUCAAGAGAAGUGUAUGCUUUUUACGUACUGUCGGACUAUUUGAUCAUUUUCUGGAAAAUCUGCUAUAUUACCCUCCAUUUGAAUUGGAUUAGACCAGAAAUGAGAGAAUGAGGCAACAGAGCGUAUGGGAUUUUUUUACAAGGGUGGUUGCCCGUCUCUCUACCCUUUCGGGUAUGGGUAAGGCUCGUCUACAUAUUACCCUCCCCAGACCCCACUUUGUGGGACUAUACUGGGUAGUUGUUGUUGUUGGUGGUGUUAAAAUAGAAAAAGAGAAAGAGAGAUGAUAGCACUUCAGUUUCUGGGUUUCUUUGCAUUUUUGCACCCUAAAUGCAUACUCAAACCCAAUACAUACAACUAUGCUACCUCAGAUCUUAAAGAGGCAGUGGUGAUGAUGUUUCUUAUAUCUGGGCUAACUGAUUUGGAUUUGAGAUGACCCAAUCCGUAUCUUGGCAUGGCACGUCGGUAUGGCCUGUGAUUGGGAGUUGAGACUUCCACCUCACAUGCAAUUGGUGUUGCAGCCAUGGCGUGGUUGGCUUCUCUUUUGCCUUAUCAUAACAACAAAUCUGAGCCUCAAUUUGCUGAAGAAAAACAUUGGGUGUGUUUGGUAUGAAGGAAAAUCUUUUCUGAAAAACACUUAUUUUUGGUGUUUGGGAAUGUGCAGAACAUAUUGCCUAAAGAGCAUUUAAUGUGAUGGAUGAAGAGGCUGUGAUGAUUAAAGGUGUCUAGGGUUGUGUUGGGCAUUGGAGCGACCCGUAUCUUGGUGGGGCAACCCCGAAGGUCUGUUUGAUAGAGGUCUGCAGCCAUGGCGGUGUAUCUUGGCGGGGCAACCCCAAAGGUCUGUUUGAUAGAGGUCUGCAGCCAUGGCGGUUGCUUUGUUUCCGUUGCCUGAUUUUAUUCUCAGAUCUGAGCCUCAAAAUUGAAGCAAUUACUGCAUUUGUUACCCAGUUAAGUUUAACUGGAGUGUUGAAGAAAACUCUUGUGAAUUAAAAGUUUACUUGUAGAUCUGGCUAUUUUUGAAUUUCUCCCAAAAUAGUAGUCCAACCUGUAUACACUAAGAACUAUUUUGAUCAUUUUCUCGAAAACGUGCUAUAUUAGUAUUGAGACGGCGCGAAUGAGGCUACAGAGAGUACGAGAAGUUUUACAAGGGUGGUUGCCCCAUCUCUGACAAGAGGGGUUGCUUUGAUGGUAAGCAACCCCCACUUCCAACCGAGAGAUUAUGAGUUCGAGUCUCCCCAAGAGCAAAAAUGAGGCUACAGAGAGUACGGGAUUUUUUACAAGGGUGGUUUUCCCUCUCUGCUUUGCCUAUGAUUAUCCUUUUUUAAACAAACCAACAACCCUUGAAAAGAAAGAAGAAAGAGAGAGAGUACUAUACCACACUACAACUAUGCGACUUUCAGAUCUUAAAAGAGGCAGUGAUGAUGAUGAUUCUUUUCUAUUUCUGGGCUAACUAAUUCGGGCAUGGAGAUUACCUGACCCGUACCUUGGCGUGGCAACCCGGCAUGGCCUGUGAAUGAGACUCCUCUCUCUCACACAUGCAACUGAUGUUCAAUGUUUUGCAGCCAUGGCAUGGUUGGCUUCCCUUUUGCCUUUCCAUGACACAAAUCUGAGCCUCAAUUUGAAAAAAAUUUAUCUUUUUGCAUUAUCUUCUGGGGGAUGAGGCUGCGAUGAAAUGUCGAAAGGUGUCCAGAGUUGGUCCGGCAUUGGAGCAGCCCGUAUCCUGGCUGGGCGUCCGGGAGGCAUGGUUGCAACCGGGUCCGGAUGGUGGUUGCAUUUUCUACAUUGAUUUUAUCACAAAUCUGAGCAUCAAACUUGAAGUAAAAGCAUGUUUGGCUUAGCUGAAUUUAAGUAGCUUUUAAACGCAUUUUUUAAGAGGAUGUUUGGAUGGGCUUAAAAAAAGUUUGUUUCUGUGUUUGGCUUCGUAGACUUUGUUGUGGUGUACAAAGAAACAGCUGGGCUACUGGUGAAUGAUUCUGUUUUUUGCAAGGUAAAAAAUAACGUGUUAUAUGGUUUUGUACUGGUUAAAACUCAACACUUCUAAUUUGUUUCCUCUUUAUAUAACAGCCCCUGGGAACAUCAUUGACGGAACUCACGUUUUUCAUCAAAUGAUAUCUCUUUUUAUUUUUCCUGCUGAAUUCUUUGUUCAAGGUACUACCUAUCCAUAUUUUGACUGGGCAUCCCAAUAUGACCUGAGAUUGAGAAUCUUCUCUCUUGCAAACAACCUUUGUUUUGCAGCCAUGGCAUGGAUUUCAUCUCUUUGCCUGAUGAUAACAUGAUGAUAACAUAGAACUGAUCCUCAAUGUUAAGAAUAUAUAAUAUUAAGUAAUAAAACAUAACGGGAUUAUAUUUAUAAUGUCUAUGAUAAGAAAUAACCUUAUUAAAAAAGUACUCCUAUAUGAUAACAAAUAAUCAAUUCUUAGGAACGGUAAUGUACUCACUCAGUUAUUAGGUGACAUUUGAGAUUUUGCCUUCAUAGCCGCACCUUUCAUCUUCUCUGUUCCUUUUUUUUCUUUUUUCUAUUUUGUUGACAGCUGCUCUGGUCUUAUUUCUACACCAUAAACAGAAACUGGAAUACUCUACUCAAGAACAGAAUGAGGCUGCAUAUGGAUGGAAAGUUUCUAAGGAUGCUGCCUUCCAUCAGCAUGCCUGUGAUAUCUCUGUAUUCUGCUACUGACAAAGCAGCACCCCUUCUUUCAUGCUUAGCUAGCGCUCUAAUGGUUAUUCACUAUCUUUCAUAUUUCUCACACUAUGUGCUUCUUCUUUCUUGGUCCAUAUCUUUUCCUUUUCACAAAUCUCAAUCACUAUGAGCAAUAUUGCUGUUUCUUAUCUGUAGGCUGUGAUGAUAAAGUUUCUUGACCUUAUUGGGUUUGGGUUCAUAUCCUGGCUGGUUUAACCAGGAUAUUGUAAGCAGAGUCUUUCCUUUCUAGCAUGCAAUCCUUGUUUGCAGCCGUUGUGGUGCCCCUUUCCUUCACCUGAUUUUAUGACAGAUCUGAGCCUGCUUAUAGAUAUCUUAAAAUAGAUGAAAAUAACUUCCUGAAGAAAGAGAAGGACAAUGGUGAAUAAAAGUGAAAACUACUUUCCCUUUUGAUGAAAAAGGAAUGGUUAGAUUCUUAAUGCAGACUUACACGGGUUUUCGGUUAAAAGUUCUCUUGUUGGAUUAGCCCAGAAAAUUCAUUGGGUUUGGGUCUGCUGGACUCAUAUCUGACGGGGUAAACCAGGAUAUUGCAAGCAGAGUCUUUCCUUUCUAGCAUGCAAUCCUUGUUUGCAGCCAUUGCGGUGUCCCUUUCCUUCACCUUAAUUUAUGACAGAUCUGAGCCUGCUUAUGUACUCAUGAGUGUCACUUCUAGAUAGAUAUCUAAAAAUAGAUGGAAAUAACUUUUAGAUAUUCCUGGAGAAAGAGAAGGACAAUGGUGAAAAAAAGUGAAAACUACUUUCCCUUUUGAUGAAAAAGGAAUUGUCAGAUUUUUAAUGCAGACUCACUGCUUUCACUUAAAUGUUCUCUUGUUGGAUUAGCCCAGAAAAUGGCGAGAAUGAGGCAACAGAGAAUAUGGGUUUUUCUUUCAAGGGUGGUUGCCUCUCUGCUUUGUCUAUGAUUUUCCCCCUUCUCAACUAACCAACAGCCCUUAAGAGACAGAAAGAGAAAACAUAGCACUUCAGUUUCUGGUUUUCUGGAUGACAAUUUGUGAAAUUUCCCCAAUAUGCAAGUAUACCACGACAAUUCAACAGCCUUCAGAUCUUCAGUCUUUCUGCUCAUGGUCCUUUGCAUGUUUCUUUCAGUUUACUCUCACUGUCUCAUUGUUAAUGCAAACUUGAAACUGUUCCAUUAUGAUGCGUUUUACUACAGAAAUGGACUGUGAUGAUCCUUAUGAAUCUUUCUAUUUUUGGGCUCAUUAUUGACCAUUGAGAUAACACGACCCGUAUCUUGGCAUGGCACCCGGGACGGCCAGUGAUUUAAAACUACUCUCUCUCUCUCUCUCUCUCUUUCUCUCUCAUGCAACCGGUGUUGCAGCCAUGUCGUCGUUGGUUUCUCUCUUGCUUGUCAUUAUAUGCGUCUGAGCCUCAAUUUGCUGAAGAACAUUAGUAGGUGUUUGGACAAAUAUUAAGUUGAAGUUGAGAUAUUCUUUUAAAUGCAGACUUGUCUCUUUGGUUAAUAGCUCUCAUCUUAAUGAACUAUGUUUAAUAGAUUAGCCCAAGAAUGGUGAGAAUGAGGCAGCAGAGAGUAUGGGAUUUUUUACAGGGUGGUUGCCCGUUGCCCCUCUCUGUUUUUCUAUGAUCCUCCCUUUUUCAACAAACCAACAAACCGUUAAAAAGAAAGAGAGGCAUAUAAUAGCACUUCAGUAUUUCGGUUUCUUUGCAUUUUGCACCCUCUUAAUGUAUACUCUCACGACUAUACAACAACAACUACGCAGCCUUCAGAUCUUUUAAAGAGGCAGUGAUGAUGAUUUUUUCAUUAUCUGGGCUAACUAAUCCAGGAAUGGAGAUAACCCGACCCUUAUCUUGGCGUGGCAACCCGGUAUGGCCUGUGAUUGAGACUCUUCUGUCUCUCACACGUGCAACCGGGUUUUGCAGCCAGGGCGUGGUUGGCCUCUCUUGUCUUUGACAUUACAACACAUCUGAGCCUUAAUUUGCUAAAGAAAUUAUUAUCUUUUCCAUCCCCACUUAUGGGAAUAUACUUGGUUUGUUGUUGUAUAUUGAUGUGGAAAUAUUACCCACGCCUUUUUGUUGAAAGUUUUAAUGCUUUUAGGUUUGGAAUCCCAUGUUUUAUCAGUAAUUGGAAUUCACUAUAUGAUCUUCCAUCUAUACUAAUUCCCUUAGCCCAGAAAUGGCGAGAAUGAGGCAACAGAGAAUACAGGAUUUCUUUCAAGGGUGCUUGCCCCUCUUUGCUUUGUCUAUGAUUCUCCCUUUUCAACAAACCAACAGCCGCCCUUAAAGAGUUGGUAAAAAUCAGAGAAAACACUUCCAUUUCUGGGUUUCUUUGCAUUUUUGCACCCUCUGUUUGGACAGGCACCUUGUAAUUGGAUUUAGGGUGUAAAUGUGUGAUUUUUUAUUGUUUGUGUGGCCAAGUAAUACUAGGUCAGCAUGGAUUUGGGUAUAAUUGCACAACUAUACUAUGACCUUCAGAUCAUCAGUCUGUCUCCUCGUGGCUUUGAGAACUCAUUAAAGAGGCAGUGAUGAUGAUGUUUCUUAUAUCCGGGCUAAGCAAUUCGGGCAUGGAGUAACGUGACCAUAUAUUGGCGUGGCAACUCAGUAUGGCUUGUGAUUGAUACUCCUUUCACAUGCAACCGGUGUUUUGCAGCCACAACGUGGUCGGCUUCUCUUUUGCCUUGUCAUGACAGAUCUGAGCCUCAAUUUUCUGAGGAAAAUAUCUCUUCCUUAAUUUGAUGUGGGAGACAUCGAACCCCCAGAACGAGGCUACGGAAUGAGAUUUCUUUCAAGGGUGGUUUCCCAUCUCAGCUUUGUCUGUGAUUCUCCAUGUUUAAACAAACCAAUUUAAAAAAGAAAAAGAGCACAGUUCAGUUUCUGCAUUUCCUUGCGUUUUUGCACCCUUUAUGUGUACUCAAAACACACCUUCAGAUCAUCAGUCUGUCUCAUGGCUUUGAAAGCUCGUAAACAGGCAGUGAUGAUGAUUUUUUGUAUCUGGGCUAUUUAAAUCGGGCAUGGAGAUUACCUGCCCCAUACCUUGGCGUGGCAACCCUGUAUGGCCUGUGAUUGAGACUCUUCUCACUCAUGUGUCACUGCUGUUUUGCAGCCAUGGGAUGGCUAGCUCCUGUUUUUCCUUAUCAUAACACAUCUAAGCGCAAAGCUGAUCUAGGAUUUGAACUUUGGGGGUUCGAGUCCAAGAUUUUACAACUCAUUUGAUAUACUGUGUUGAAAAACAAGUAUUUGUUCUUAUUUAGUAAACUUUUUAACACAUUUAGAGGGUUUGAGUCAAAGCUACUAUUCAGAGGAACCCGUGCCUAAACCUCUCUUUCCGCCUUGACUCAGCCUCAAUAUACUUUUUUUCCCCUUCCUGAAAUGACAUUGGCCAGUUAUUUAAGUCGUUUUCUCUUUCGCAUACAAAUGAUGUUUUUGCAGCCAUGGCGUGGUUAGCUUUUCUUUGCCUGAUCUUUUCUGCAGAUCUGAGCCUCACAUUUUUGUGUCAGCUGCAUUUUCUUAUUUAAUACACAUAUUGCACCGGUUUUUUUUUAAAUCUUCAGAUGUCUGAAUAAAAGAAUGAGGCAAUAUAGGUGUCAAAAUGAGUAUAUUUCUUUAGAGAGGUUGUUCAUGUUUAUUUAUUUUUUAAAAAUCUUUUCUAUGUGAUAAUUGCUUUAAUUUAAAAGAAUAAAUUUUAGUCCUGCAGAGUUGUAACUUUGUUUUCUCUCUGUCUUUGAUGGCCUUUGUGUGUAUCUUCUAUGUUGUUAUUCUGUGUUCCCCUGGCUUUUGAGUUCGAACAGCUUUUGCUUGGAGUACACGUAAAUGGGACUGUGAUGAUACUUCAAGUACCUUCUUUUCUGGGCUAAUCAAUUUGCAUGGAGAUGACCAGACCUGUUGGCUUGGCAACUCAAUGUGGUUUGUGUUAAGGUUUCUCUCUCUCAUGCAACCUUUGUUUUGCAGCCAUGAUGAGGUGGGCUUCUCUUUUCCUUGUUCUAAGAUAGAUUUGAGCCUCAAUUUGCUUAGAAAACAAACCUUUUCCUUGGUUCAAUGCAGGGUUAUGAUCUAGCAUGCAUCCUUCAGGUUAUUAUAAAGUUCGAAGAGAAAGCAUUUUGUUGUAGUGUUGCACCACGCUGGUGUUGAAUUGUCUGUUCGUGUCUGUGUUUUCAAUAAGCAUCAAAACCAUGAGUUUCAAGCAAUCAUGCCUCAAUCUUGAAAACAGACCCGUGUCUCUCUGUCUUGAGUACAUAUCUCAGCCGCAGCUUUCUUCAAUAUUUCUAGUUUCGUUUACCUUUUAGUUUUCAGAACUACAGCUAGUGAAAGAAAAAUUGGAAAAAGUUAAGCAAAAGAUUAAGUCUUUUAAAGUUCAUUUCAAAAGUUUUGGGUAGAAAUUCUCCAUUCGUAUCUAAAAGAUGCUAUUUUAUUCUAUAUAGCAAUUACCAUAGAGUGGAAAUGCACUAUUUUGAGUGUUAAAGCUGGCCCCCUAAAUCCUAAAUAGUAAGACAAUAAGGGGAACACCCAAAACGGAUCAAAGUUUUUAUUUUUGUGACACGAAUUAGAAAUGAGAUUUUUGUUCUCCUUUUUGACUUUUGACAUGAAUUUAGUCAUAAUUAAUAUACAAGGGGAUUGCCCUUUUUAUUCAAUCUACUGGAUCUUAGAUCUCACUAAUUAACAGCCACUUCAUGAGCAAAUUUCAGUUGGAACCUCGUUAACUUAGUGUAUGAUUGACUUUCUGUCAGUUCUGCAGUGAUGAGGUUCCAAAGCCCUACUCGUAACUUCAAGAUUAUUGAAGCUCCAUUUCUUACUGCUGAUAUUACAUGAAAAAUGUUGCAAGGGCUUUGGUCUAGUGGCAAGGAUACAACACGGGAUGAAUGAGUUAGCCACAGUUCAUGGGUUUGAAUCUUGCCACAGACAAUAACCUGGUAUGUAAGUGGAGAAAGGUAGUGUAACCUGAUUUAGAGACUAGGAAUCGUUUAUUAGGAGAUAGUUAAAUUGCUUGCAAUGUGUGGAAUUAUUUUAAUAAUGCAUGUGGUGUACCUUUUUGCCAAAGGUAAUCUGAGAUAUACUUUGAUACAAUGGUGGUUGAGCAGAAGAAACAAAAUGGUGGACGCAACUGUCAAGCAGUGUUUACCUUCAAUAGUGUACUGGGAGACCUGGAAAAGUAGAUGCAGUGCAGGAUUUGGGGGAACACUGCUACUGCUGCAAAAAUUAUUAACCAGGUGUGUUAUUUGAUGAAGUUACUAUAAUUUCUUCAUUCCCCUCUCUUACCUUUUAUGACUAUUGGAUAGAAGUGUAUAACAUGGUAGACAUGGUGAAACAGAAGUUAAGUGAAUUAGUUAAGUUGGGAGAAACCACUCAACCAGUGGAGGUGGGGGUUUAAGCUCAAUAUUGAUGGUUGCUUUAAACGUAACCUGGGAAUUGAGAUGCUGGUGGAAUUGUAAGGAACAAGCCGGGGAAAUGGUAUGGCUUUUGCAGAUUACUCUGGUUGCCGCACUAAUAAUCUAGUAGAAGCAAGGGCAAUGUUAACGGGGGCUUGGAUGGUGAGUUCAGUAUGGUUUUCUUGAUUUUGUCAUUGAAUCUGACUCUUGCAAUCAGUGGCGGAGCCAUAUUGACCCAAGGGGUCUCCUUCGCUGGAAAUUUACACUAUAUUACUACAUAAGUUUUUCUAUUUUAGGUAUAUUUACUAUACGUUAGCUCUCCUUGACUUUUCGAUGUAUCUAAUUAUUUAUAUUGACACCCGUUUCAUGAAAAUUCUGGCUCCGCUGUAAUUGUAAAGAUGGUAAGACGUGAAUGUAGUGUUUUGUGGCAGAGUCAAGGAUGUCAAUAACCAAAUCCAACAUUUAUGUACACAAGGCAGGUUCAUUAUUAUACUGUUACCGGAAAUUCAAUUUUGUUGCUGAUCUUUGGCUAAUCAGGGUGAAAAGACAAGUGAACAUUCUUCGAUCAGGCUGUCCAGAUGAGAGCCAUCUUGAAGAAUGAUCAAAGUGGUUUGAUGGGACGUGUUCAGUUCGGAUCAGGCCAAGCGUCAUUUCUCCACUGACCAUGGCUAGGGUACUCAUUCUAUUUACUGUAAUGUGUAAAAAAAAAAUCUUAUUCUUUUUUGUUAACUUUAAAGUGUAAGAGAGAUGUCCUCAUUUUCUUACAUGGCUAAGGCAGGCAAGGGGUGUACAUGGACCGGGUUAGUUCGGUUUUUAUUAAAACCCAACCAAAUCAACUAUAUUGGGUUGGAUUGGUUCGGUUUUGUCGGAUUUUUCGAUUUUGUUUUUGUUACAUAACUAUUAUUUUAGUCUUACUUUAUUAAACUUUUUAUAAGUAAAUAUAUGUCAAGUAAAAAUUGACGAACAUAUGCUCUAUUGUUAUAAACUAAAGCAAAAGACAAGAACAAUAGAACAAGAACAAUAGCAAUAGAGAGA